GCAGUAGGCGGGCUGAUGCUCGUGAUGGGAACUUGGGAUUUUCUUUGAUGUCAUCUUCUCCCGCGAACUCAUGGCUGGGGCACACUUUCUU
This 91-nucleotide non-coding RNA is filed under the name Palpitomonas bilix. The record is from RNAcentral.